ACAGUCUAGGGGUAUGAUUUUCGCUUCGCAUCAUCUGAUAGCACUUGUGAAAGGUCGUGGGUUCAAUUCCCACAGCG
Molecule: non-coding RNA, 77 nt
Organism: Neodidymelliopsis sp. IMI 364377
Lineage: Eukaryota; Fungi; Ascomycota; Dothideomycetes; Pleosporales; Didymellaceae
Source: the annotation of a GenBank genome assembly